GAUGAACGCUGGCGGCGUGCCUAACACAUGCAAGUCGAACGAAGCACCUUACCUGAUUCUUCGGAUGAAAGUUUGGUGACUGAGUGGCGGACGGGUGAGUAACGCGUGGGUAACCUGCCCUGUACAGGGGGAUAACAGCUGGAAACGGCUGCUAAUACCGCAUAAGCGCACGAGGAGACAUCUCCUUGUGUGAAAAACUCCGGUGGUACAGGAUGGGCCCGCGUCUGACUAGCUGGUUGGCAGGGUAACGGCCUACCAAGGCAACGAUCAGUAGCCGGUCUGAGAGGAUGAACGGCCACAUUGGAACUGAGACACGGUCCAAACUCCUACGGGAGGCAGCAGUGGGGAAUAUUGCACAAUGGGGGAAACCCUGAUGCAGCAACGCCGCGUGAGUGAAGAAGUAUUUCGGUAUGUAAAGCUCUAUCAGCAGGGAAGAUAAUGACGGUACCUGACUAAGAAGCGCCGGCUAAAUACGUG
Molecule: ribosomal RNA, 477 nt
Filed under: uncultured bacterium
Lineage: Bacteria
Description: partial 16S ribosomal RNA
Rfam family: Bacterial small subunit ribosomal RNA
Source: RNAcentral